Non-coding RNA from Macaca mulatta (Rhesus monkey), 1141 nucleotides. Lineage: Eukaryota; Metazoa; Chordata; Mammalia; Primates; Cercopithecidae. The record is from RefSeq and is a predicted model, not a curated record.
UUCAGUUGUCUAGCAUACCAUCUUCCUUCUGUGAUCUUAAGCCGAGACCAUAAAGGUUUUAAUUAAUAAUUCUCACCACAAAUCUUCCAGGUGUGUGCCAGUGAGGAUUACUUAACUGAAGCAAAUAAGGGUAGAAGUAUACAUAACCAUUCCUCAGUGUCUGUGGGGGAUUGACUCCAUGAUCUUCCUGGAAUACCAAAAUCUUCAGAUGCUCAAGUCUCUUUUAUAAGAUGGUAUAGUGUUUACAUGUGAUCUACAUACAUCUCCAGUGAAGGAAGAAGCAAGGACAUCACCUUGGAGUGAGAAUGAGAGAGAUGUUACUGGAUACUUGAGGAGAAAGAAGUUGAUAUGACAUUGUCACCUAAGGGAGCAAGGGACUGAAUGGACAAGAAAAUGAAGUGUGAUGUAGUAGUUCAUGAAAGUGGAAUAAAAUCUAAUCUCAUCUAAGGAUGUCUUCCACAGCUAUGCUGCCUCGACAUGAAUUAGACAAGUGCAGAGGGACCCAGAGGAAGAAUUCAACCCAGGCAGCUGGGCUCUUCACCGCACGGCCUGCUUUACCUCAUACACAGAUUAUUUAAGAAUGCCAUCAUCCCCAGUUGUCCUGUACACCGUGACAUGGCUACUGGCAUCUUUCACUGGAGAGAAUUAUGGUUAUCAAUAAUCUCCUAUUGGGGUGUGGAUAAUUUUGAAAAGAACACUUGAAGCAGCUAUUCUUCGUAUAUGGAAGCAAUGGCCACUAGAGAGAUAAAAUGAGUAAGAGACUACUCUGGAACUUACAGAUGGUCUUCCCCAAAGUCAGACUACUAGGAGGCUCUCUGAUAGAGAAAGAGGUUUGGUCUCCACUCCUUCCUGAAGUGUUUUAAGAGCUAAAAAUGGGAGACCGAAUCAUGGGAGCAGUUGCUGGUUGGUGCUGCAAACCUAAAACAGCCCCACCUGCAAAGUCUUUACAGAUCUGUGGACUCAAAUUAUUUAGAUAUCGAAAAUCACCUACAUAAUUAUUGGUCUCAAAUUUUAAUAUAAACUGAAGACACACACUUAUCUUCUUUCUUUCUAUUAAUGUGACAUCAUUUGUCUCCAAAUUUUGUUGACUUUGCAUACCAUUGCACAUAAAUAAAGGAAUGUAUGUGAUAUAGAUACUGUA